CGGGUGCGUAACACGUGAGCGACCUGCCUCCCCGCGGGGGAUAGCCGGCCCAACGGCCGGGUAAUACCGCAUACGCUCGCUUCGGGGCAUCCCGGGGCGAGGAAACUUCCGGGGCGGGGAGAGGGGCUCGCGGCCUAUCAGCUAGUUGGCGGGGUGACGGCCCACCAAGGCGGCGACGGGUAGCUGGUCUGAGAGGAUGGCCAGCCACAUUGGGACUGAGAGACGGCCCAGACUCCUACGGGAGGCAGCAGUGGGGAAUCUUGCGCAAUGGCCGCAAGGCUGACGCAGCGACGCCGCGUGGGGGAGGAAGGGCUUCGGCUCGUAAACCCCUGUUGCCCGGGGCGAACAUCCCCUCUCGAGGGGACUGACGGUACCGGGUGAGGAAGCACCGGCUAACUCCGUGCCAGCAGCCGCGGUAAUACGGAGGGUGCGAGCGUUGUCCGGAAUCACUGGGCGUAAAGGGCGCGUAGGUGGCCCGUCAAGCGCGCGGUGAAAGCCCGGGGCUCAACCCCGGGUCGGCCGUGCGGACU
RNAcentral lists this ribosomal RNA (530 nucleotides) under uncultured bacterium. RNAcentral's name for it is "bacterial SSU rRNA". It matches the Rfam family "Bacterial small subunit ribosomal RNA", at positions 103 to 634 of the family's 1533-position model. The record is from RNAcentral.